This 488-nucleotide ribosomal RNA is filed under the name uncultured bacterium. RNAcentral describes it as "partial 16S ribosomal RNA". It matches the Rfam family "Bacterial small subunit ribosomal RNA", at positions 28 to 507 of the family's 1533-position model. The record is from RNAcentral.
GACGAACGCUGGCGGCGUGCUUAACACAUGCCAGUCGAACGGAAAGGCCCUGCUUUUGUGGGGUGCUCGAGUGGCGAACGGGUGAGUAACACGUGAGUAACCUGCCCUUGACUUUGGGAUAACUUCAGGAAACUGGGGCUAAUACCGGAUAGGAGCUCCUGCUGCAUGGUGGGGGUUGGAAAGUUUCGGCGGUUGGGGAUGGACUCGCGGCUUAUCAGCUUGUUGGUGGGGUAGUGGCUUACCAAGGCGAUGACGGGUAGCCGGCGUGAGAGGGUGAUCGGCCACACUGGAAGUGCGACGCGGGCCGGGUGCCUACGGGCGGCAGCAGUGGGGAAGAUUGGACAAUGGGCGCAAGCCUGAUCGAGCCAGACUGCGUGGGUGACGGAGGCCUUCGGGGGGUAAAGCCCGUUUGUUGGGAAAGAAAAGCAGCAGGUUAAUACCCCGCUGUUCUGACGGGACCCAAAGAAUAAGCAACGGCUAACCUCGUG